CCCUUAGAUGUUCUGGGCAGCACGCGCGCUACAAUGGUCUUCGCAAACGGAUGCAUUCUCGAAGGAGAAUGCCAAUCUUGGAAUCUAUGCCUUGGUCGGGACAGUUGCUUGCAAUUUUUCGACUCGAACCAGGAACUCCUUGUAAUCGUGAUUCAUCACAUCACGAUGAAUACGUCCCUGCCCUUUGUACACACCGCCCGUCGCUCCUACCGAUCGAAGAGUUAGGUGAAUUGUUUUGAUCGAUAAGAUUUGACUAUGGUCAACUCUCGUUGUGAAAUUCUGUGAAUCUGACUGUUUAGAGGAAGGAAAAGUCGUAACA
This 319-nucleotide ribosomal RNA is filed under the name uncultured eukaryote. RNAcentral's name for it is "partial 18S ribosomal RNA". It matches the Rfam family "Eukaryotic small subunit ribosomal RNA", at positions 1470 to 1796 of the family's 1831-position model. The record is from RNAcentral.